RNAcentral lists this ribosomal RNA (773 nucleotides) under uncultured Actinomycetes bacterium. RNAcentral describes it as "bacterial SSU rRNA". It matches the Rfam family "Bacterial small subunit ribosomal RNA", at positions 565 to 1335 of the family's 1533-position model. Lineage: Bacteria; Bacillati; Actinomycetota; Actinomycetes. The record is from RNAcentral.
GGGCUCGUAGGUGGUUGAUCGCGUCGGAAGUGUAAUCUUGGGGCUUACCCUGAGCGUGCUUUCGAUACGGGUUGACUUGAGGAAGGUAGGGGAGAAUGGAAUUCCUGGUGGAGCGGUGGAAUGCGCAGAUAUCAGGAGGAACACCAGUGGCGAAGGCGGUUCUCUGGGCCUUUCCUGACGCUGAGGAGCGAAAGCGUGGGGAGCGAACAGGCUUAGAUACCCUGGUAGUCCACGCUGUAAACGGUGGGUACUAGGUGUGGGGUCCAUUCCACGGGUUCCGCGCCGUAGCUAACGCUUUAAGUACCCCGCCUGGGGAGUACGGCCGCAAGGCUAAAACUCAAAGGAAUUGACGGGGCCCCGCACAAGCGGCGGAGCAUGCGGAUUAAUUCGAUGCAACGCGUAGAACCUUACCUGGGUUUGACAUGGAUCGGGAGUGCUCAGAGAUGGGUGUGCCUCUUUUGGGGUCGGUUCACAGGUGGUGCAUGGCUGUCGUCAGCUCGUGUCGUGAGAUGUUGGGUUAAGUCCCGCAACGAGCGCAACCCUUGUUCACUGUUGCCAGCACGUUAUGGUGGGGACUCAGUGGAGACCGCCGGGGUCAACUCGGAGGAAGGUGGGGAUGACGUCAAGUCAUCAUGCCCCUUAUGUCCAGGGCUUCACGCAUGCUACAAUGGCUGGUACAGAGAGUGGCGAGCCUGUGAGGGUGAGCGAAUCUCGGAAAGCCGGUCUCAGUUCGGAUUGGGGUCUGCAACUCGACCUCAUGAAGUCGGAGUCGC